RNAcentral lists this unclassified non-coding RNA (739 nucleotides) under Melitaea cinxia (Glanville fritillary). RNAcentral's name for it is "misc RNA ENSMCXG00005000196.1". The record is from RNAcentral. Lineage: Eukaryota; Metazoa; Arthropoda; Insecta; Lepidoptera; Nymphalidae.
GUGUUGUAUAAACUUAAAAUAGCAUGAAGCUUGCAUGAAUAUGCAAAGGUUAUAUGCACUAUGAACUAUAAUUUAAUGAUUUUAUUUGUUAUUGAAAUAGGUAUGUGUAUAUUUAUUACUUCAUAAAAAGAAAUAUACGUGUACUUUUGUUUUAAUUACCAGGUAACAUUAUUAUUUCCUUGCCUUCCAUUUUGAGCAUUUAAUCUGUGCUCAUCUCUUUCUUUAUGUCAAUAUCAAAAUAAAUGUCGACAUUCUGAAUUAAUUAUUACCUUGACAUUAUUUAACUGAGAGGAAACCUUGUACUGUGUGCAGUGUUGUCUUCCUGGCCGCUGUUAUUCUCAUCUGUUAUAGCGGCAUCGGCAGUUGCCUGUUCUGGGCGAGCCAGUGUGACGGUGAAAAAUAUGACACUUAGCGCUUCCAAAAGCUAGUUCCGUCGUGCUCAAAGUGCAAACAAGUGUUCCUUUAACCGAGAAAAAAAGUGUCAAUGUGUAACCAAACAGCUCGGUUUAUACUCAUUGCCACUUAGGAAGACAUUAAGAACGAAACUGUAUAAGUAUACUUUUGUAAAUGAAAUGUAUUUUAUUUACCAUUUGUGGAGUAUUAGUAUGUGAGAUUGAUGAUGACAUGUACUUAUGUAUCUAGUUUCUUGUUAUUAUUGAUUAUGUGAUCGCAAUGAUUUUACAGUUAUUGUUAGUAAUAUAUGUUAUGAUAUUGGAAUAAAAAUGUCGAAACUAGAAUA